This 253-nucleotide ribosomal RNA is filed under the name uncultured bacterium. RNAcentral's name for it is "partial 16S ribosomal RNA". It matches the Rfam family "Bacterial small subunit ribosomal RNA", at positions 524 to 776 of the family's 1533-position model. The record is from RNAcentral.
UACGUGGGGGGCAAGCGUUGUUCGGAAUUACUGGGCGUAAAGGGCUCGUAGGCGGCCAACUAAGUCAGACGUGAAAUCCCCAGGCUUAACCUGGGAACUGCGUCUGAUACUGGAUGGCUUGAAUUCGGGAGAGGGAUGCAGAAUUCCAGGUGUAGCGGUGAAAUGCGUAGAUAUCUGGAGGAAUACCGGUGGCGAAGGCGGCAUCCUGGACCGGCAUUGACGCUGAGGCGCGAAAGCCAGGGGAGCAAACGGG